Long non-coding RNA from Suricata suricatta (meerkat), 2901 nucleotides. RefSeq lists it as uncharacterized. Lineage: Eukaryota; Metazoa; Chordata; Mammalia; Carnivora; Herpestidae. The transcript has 3 exons. The record is from RefSeq and is a predicted model, not a curated record.
GGUGCUGGCUUCGGGGGGAAGCGGCCACCACCGCCGGCCUCCGCCGCUCCGCGCCUCUCUCCCGGCCACCCUGCGCCGCCAGGGCCCCGCGGACCUGCAAACCCGAGGCCGAGAGCGGAACUGCCCUGCCGUUUCCCGGGCUCGGGGAUCUCGGGGCUCGCGAUGGCGAUGCGCCGCGAGGAAAGGCGAGGAGCUGCGUGGGGGCUGAGUGUCCUCGGAGCGCCGGGACGCGGGGAGCGCACGCCCCCGGGCUGGGGAAGCUGCCGCCCCGGGACCCCCUGGGCCAAGUCCCUCCAUCUUCGCGGCGCCCGAGCACUGAGGCCGGGGCGGCCGGCGCUCUGGCCUUGGAUGGAAAGUGGGAGAUGGGAUGCGGGGCUCCGGACCUCCUAACGUGGAUUACUUGGUGCGUCCCAGCCGGGCUCAGAAGACUCAGGACCUCCCUCCAUCCUUGGAUUGAUUCAUUCCACCUGGCCGUCGGGUCGCGUUACCCGGAGGUGAAGUCAGAAGUUUGAGGCUGGCCUGCGUAGAUGCUCCGAACCAGACAAAAAGGCCUAGAAAGGAGGGGCGGCUGUGGGCUCCUUCCUCUUAGUCACCCACCCUUCCCACCAGGAAGCUGGGUGGGGCCGACGUAUGCCACCAGGAUCCCCGUGAAGGACCCGGCUGAGAUGGGACCAACCUAUAGGAGGCCAGAGCUCUGGAUCUGAUUAAGAAUUCCUAUUUUGGAGAAGGAAGCAAGUUCUAGAUUUGAGAGGACAUUGGAGGAGAAAGUAAAGGCCCGUGCACUGAGCAGUAGUCUGUGUGUGGACCUGCGCGAGCCGGAGGUGGCCUCCAUGCAGUCCGACGAAACACCGCCGUCACAGACCUUGUCCUUCCUUCUUGUGGGGAACAUUCCCUCUGCCGCCGCGCCCCGAUCCCGUGAACCACAGGGCUUUCUGCCACACCCUCCGUCUUGCCCCCCGGUUUCCCCCCUCUACUGUGCCUUUGGACUCCGUCAUUCUUGUUUGCUCCAUUAUCUCCCAGCCGGAUACAGAGUGAAUAGUUAACUACACUUAGGUCAAAUGUGAUUUUAAUUUUCGUUCCUGUUCCUUCUCGCACGGCCGGUGUUUGUGUUGCUAUGUGAGCAGCGUUGGAAUAGUUAUGUCCUCUCGCUCAUUUGGGAUCCGGCCCCCUCGGGUUCCAGAGCGGUGCAGGUCAGUGCCAGAGAUCUUCAGGGCUCUCGGAUGCCGGGGGCACCGGAGGGCCCCCCAGGGGAGCUGACUCAGGAAGGCUGGAGCCCUCCGUGUCCAGCUUCCUUUGUUUGGAUCACACGCAGGUGUAUGUCUGGAAGAGCGAAAAAUACUAUUCGUUCAUCUCAACUAUCUUCUGUUUUUUUAAACUGAAUUUUUGACGUAUAAUUGACACACUGUUAUAUUCGUUUCCCAGCUAUCUUCUGUUGACGCGGACGCACAGACUGCUGUGAGGACGCCCCCGCCCUUGCGGGUGGCCACGGGGACCCAUGCCAGAACACGGUUUUUCCUUACAGACUCUGGCUACCAGAGCGGGGGUGCUUAUUGAGGGUCCUCUUCCCCCAGGAUGCCUGUGACACUCACUGACAGCAGCUCAGGCCCUGCGAAACACGGGUCAAAUAUUCCGUCACCACCGUGCGCCUGGCUAAAAACCCUUCUGGAUCAAUCUUGGCUACACUGCAGAACCAACAGUGUCCGUACAUCCCGCUUCCCGAACAAAUGGAUGCCUCGUCUUUGUAGAAGAAUUAAAGUUGUACGUAUCUGUCUUCUUGUUGCAGGGAAUGGGUUCCUGUGACCGUGUAGUGACUUCGGUGUCUUCUAAGGGGAACAUUGGGGACCUUCUUGACAUCUCAGAUUCACCACCAAGUGAGUGAGGGACCCUGUUGAGGAAGUUUCGUGCAGUUGAAACGUACGGCUUGUCCGAGGGCUUUGCCCGCCUUCCUUUCCGGGCACAGACUCCUCGUCCUGGUUAGGUUCCUUCAGGUUUCAAGGAACAGAGAUCCACUCAUCCCCCUUCCGUGAAUGAGGGCUUAUUCCAAGUUGCGUUGGAAACGAGGUAGACAGGAAACAGUCUACCCAGCAGCUGCCCAGCAAGACCUUUCUAGAAGCCCAAAGUCAUCCACGGUGUCCAUUCUGCUCAGCAGCAGGACCCACUGCUCCCGCUUCUAGCCUUCUGCGGUGGUGACGAGCUGACGGAGCUGCUCCAGUUUGCCCGGGGCCGAGCGCUUUCCCGGGACACACGACGUUCAGCGAUAAACCCGGGACAGCCCUGGGCGAACCAGAACAAUUGUCACCCUACUGGGUGACCGGAUGGCACCGCCUCGGCUGCUGCUUCUCCUGCUGGGGCUCGCGGAUGCUCUCCUCUCGUCCGGCCAGCUGCCGUUCAGAGCCCCUGUGUCUGACCACAUCACUGACCACCGGGCAGGCUACAGAUGGAGGCCGUUGGUUCAGGCACCCAUCUUGACCAAAUCCAGCGUUUUCCAGGGUGGUAGGGUUCCAUGACGCUGUAUAAAAACCUGGGUCUAACCAACCAGCUGAGACCACGUCCUUCAGAGGAGGUGCUGUGGAUACCGGAUGUGUCAGCCAUUCAAAGUAUCAGGGAUUCCUCUCCAAUACUGGCCUACUUAAAAAGAUGAGGCUAACCUUUCUUGUUAAGAACAAAGGAGUUCAUUUGAAACAAAAACACAGCCACCGGGAACAGACUACAAUGCGUGCAUGCUCGCAUGUGUGAGGUACAUGCACAUACCACAUAGAAUAAGCCAAGAAGAAAAUUCUGCAUCUUUGCGAGACAGAGGCUAAGAGCUAAGAACCAUUGGGAUGAAGGGGGCACCCGGGGGGCUCAGUCAGUUGAGUGUCCGACUUCGGCUCAGGUUAGGAUCUCACUCGUGGGUUCGAG